Molecule: ribosomal RNA, 497 nt
Filed under: uncultured bacterium
Lineage: Bacteria
Description: partial 16S ribosomal RNA
Rfam family: Bacterial small subunit ribosomal RNA
Source: RNAcentral
GAUGAACGCUGGCGGCGUGCCUAAUACAUGCAAGUCGAGCGAACAGACGAGGAGCUUGCUCCUCUGACGUUAGCGGCGGACGGGUGAGUAACACGUGGAUAACCUACCUAUAAGACUGGGAUAACUUCGUGAAACCGGAGCUAAUACCGGAUAAUAUAUUGAACCGCAUGGUUCAAUAGUUAAAGACGGUUUUGCUGUCACUUAUAGAUGUAUCCGCGCCGCAUUAGCUAGUUGGUAAGGUAACGGCUUACCAAGGCAACGAUGCGUAGCCGACCUGAGAGGGUGAUCGGCCCCACUGGAACUGAGACACGGUCCAGACACCUAGGGGCGGCAGCAGUAGGGAAUCUUCCGCAAUGGGCGAAAGCCUGCCGGAGCAACGCCGCGUGAGUGAUGAAGGUCUACGGAUCGUAAAACUCUGUUAUUAGGGAAGAACAAAUGUGUAAGUAACUAUGCACGUCUUGACGGUACCUAAUCAGAAAGCCACGGCUAACUACGUG